Molecule: long non-coding RNA, 415 nt
Filed under: Physcomitrium patens
Lineage: Eukaryota; Viridiplantae; Streptophyta; Bryopsida; Funariales; Funariaceae
Description: long non-coding RNA (PPAT_LNC002161)
Source: RNAcentral
GCUCGCAAUGGCUCCCUCAUCCAAGGUUGCGAACCCGCCGGCGGCCAAGGCAACGAAGGCUGCCAAAGCUCUCAAAACCACCACCAAGCCGGUCAAGAAAUUGUGGAGGAAGGUGCGCACUUCGGUGACAUUCCAUCGCCCCAAGACCCUCAAGCGCGCUAGGGCCCCCAAGUACCCUCGCCUCAGCGCUCCCAACCGCAACAAGCUUGACCACUAUGAGGUACUCAAGUACCCGCUCACCACCGAGUCCGCCAUGAAGAAGAUUGAGGACAACAACACCUUGGUGUUCAUCGUGGACGUGCGUGCGGACAAGAAGAAGAUCAAGCAGGCUGUGAAGAAAAUGUACGACAUCCAGACCAAGAAGGUCAACACAUUGAUCAGGUGAUUGUCCUCCUCUCUGUUGGGAUUUCCUUCG